Molecule: unclassified non-coding RNA, 329 nt
Filed under: Hevea brasiliensis (rubber tree)
Lineage: Eukaryota; Viridiplantae; Streptophyta; Magnoliopsida; Malpighiales; Euphorbiaceae
Source: RNAcentral
GGAGUAAUGCUGGGUAUUGUCCUAGUUGCUUUGCUCUUUUUGUCAAUUCUUGUGCAUGAAUUUCUUGCAUGAUUAUGAACAUUUUUAGUUUAAUUAUUGCUUUAUAUUUAUCUGUUUGCCUGCAUGUCAUGAAUGCCCCUUACUGAGGUAGUGGGCAACUUCUUUUCCAACAAAGAAGCAGAAUCCCAAAUUCCAUCGCUAAAUUUUGUUGAUGAAAUAUAGCUAUAUUCUUUUUAUCAUUGGAUGAUUUGAACCACUAGCAUAAAUGAUUUGACUCCUAGAGGAACUGCUUAGACUUUAAUGUGUUUCUGACAAGCAUUGGAGCAUGA